RNAcentral lists this long non-coding RNA (410 nucleotides) under Chinchilla lanigera (long-tailed chinchilla). Its description in RNAcentral is "lncRNA (ENSCLAG00000024414.1)". The record is from RNAcentral. Lineage: Eukaryota; Metazoa; Chordata; Mammalia; Rodentia; Chinchillidae.
GGAGGGAAAGUGGGCGGGGCCUGGGUGGGCGGUGGUGGCGCUCGAGGGCGGCUGCAGGACCGCGGCCGGACGGUAGAGGCCUCCCUUCCGAGGCGGCGGCUCGGACGUCGAGCGCCGGGGCUCUGCUCGCCGGCUCGUCCUUCCCGGCGCGGUCCGGCACGGCCGGGCCCAGCGCGGCCCAUACCCGCCUGCUCUCCUCCCCCUGCAGGCGGCAGCGCCCGUUUUCUGAGGUCCAAUUUCCUGUCCCUUACUUUACCUGGUCUUUUGCUGCCCCACUGCAACACCCUCGGGACUUCAGACAUCAAGAGGACGCCACAGAGGUUUCGCUAAGUGCCUGGUCUUCAGAGUGGGGACGAUCCCUUUCUCUCGCGAGCUUAGAGGUGCUGCCGUCCCCGCUGAACCGCUGGUGA